RNAcentral lists this ribosomal RNA (253 nucleotides) under uncultured bacterium. RNAcentral's name for it is "partial 16S ribosomal RNA". It matches the Rfam family "Bacterial small subunit ribosomal RNA", at positions 524 to 776 of the family's 1533-position model. The record is from RNAcentral.
UACGAAGGUGGCAAGCGUUGUUCGGAUUUACUGGGCGUACAGGGAGCGUAGGCGGUUGGAUAAGCCCUCCGUGAAAUCUCCAGGCUUAACCUGGAAAGUGCAGAGGGGACUGUUCAGCUAGAGGAUGGGAGAGGAGCGCGGAAUUCCCGGUGUAGCGGUGAAAUGCGCAGAUAUCAGGAAGAACACCCGUGGCGAAGGCGGCUCUCUGGGACGGUACUGACGCUGAGACGCGAAAGCGUGGGGAGCGAACAGG